AGUUUGAUCCUGGCUCAGGAUGAACGCUAGCGGCAGGCCUAAUACAUGCAAGUCGAACGGUAAGUAUGAUAGCAAUAUUAUACGAGAGUGACGUACGGGUGCGUAACACGUAUGCAACCUACCCUUUACAGGCGGAUAGCUCGGGGAAACUCGAAUUAACCCGUCAUAAUAUAAUUGGAUGGCAUCAUUUGAUUAUUAAAACUCCGGUGGUAAAGGAUGGGCAUGCGUCUGAUUAGUUAGUUGGCGGGGUAACGGCCCACCAAGACGAUGAUCAGUAGGGGAACUGAGAGGUUGAUCCCCCACACUGGCACUGAGAUACGGGCCAGACUCCUACGGGAGGCAGCAGUAGGGAAUAUUGGUCAAUGGAUGGAAGUCUGAACCAGCCAUGCCGCGUGCAGGAAGAAGGCCUUCUGGGUUGUAAACUGCUUUUGUCAGGGGAUAAAAAUUCCUUGCGAGGAAGAUUGAAGGUACCUGGCGAAUAAGCCACGGCUAACUACGUGCCAGCAGCCGCGG
Molecule: ribosomal RNA, 513 nt
Filed under: uncultured bacterium
Lineage: Bacteria
Description: bacterial SSU rRNA
Rfam family: Bacterial small subunit ribosomal RNA
Source: RNAcentral